This is an unclassified non-coding RNA of Panthera pardus (leopard), 331 nucleotides long. Its record names the gene 7SK. It matches the Rfam family "7SK RNA". Rfam says of the family: 7SK was discovered as an abundant small nuclear RNA in the mid-70s but a possible function has only recently been suggested. Two independent studies have found that 7SK RNA binds the CDK9/cyclin T complex (known as elongation factor P-TEFb). P-TEFb activates transcription by phosphorylating the C-terminal domain of RNA polymerase II. The record is from Ensembl. NCBI's taxonomy places the organism in Eukaryota, Metazoa, Chordata, Mammalia, Carnivora, Felidae.
GGAUGUGAGGGUGAUCUGGCUGUGACAUCUAUCACCCCAUUGAUCUCCAGGGUUAAUUCAACUGAUCUGGCUGGCUAGGCAGGUGUCCCCAUCCUCUCUCACCACUCCAUGUGCAUCUCUUCAGAAGCUACACACUUGGUCUAAGGGGACGACCUUUCUUGACAGAGGAGGACCUUUCUUUGGUCAAGGGCAUACAAGUAGCUGCGUUCCCCUGUUAGAAUGUCUAAACAAGCUCUCAGGGUCCAUUUGUAGGACAAUGUAGAAUAGUGAAGCUUCCAAGACUCCAGACAUAUCUGAAUAGCAUGCUGUGUGUGGCAGUCUGCUUUUCUUU